UGCCAGACUCCUACGGGAGGCAGCAGUGGGGAAUAUUGCACAAUGGGGGAAACCCUGAUGCAGCAACGCCGCGUGAGUGAAGAAGUCAUUCGUGAUGUAAAGCUCUAUCAGCAGGGAAGAAAAUGACGGUACCUGAGUAAGAAGCCCCGGCUAACUACGUGCCAGCAGCCGCGGUAAUACGUAGGGGGCGAGCGUUAUCCGGAUUUACUGGGUGUAAAGGGAGCGUAGACGGUUCUGCAAGUCUGAAGUGAAAGCCCGUGGCUUAACCGCGGAACGGCUUUGGAAACUGUGGAACUGGAGUGCUGGAGAGGCAAGCGGAAUUCCUAGUGUAGCGGUGAAAUGCGUAGAUAUCAGGAGGAACACCGGCGGCGAAGGCGGCCUGCUGGACCGUAACUGACGUUGAGGCUCGAAAGCGUGGGGAGCAAACAGGAUUAGAUACCCCCGUAAU
RNAcentral lists this ribosomal RNA (448 nucleotides) under uncultured bacterium. RNAcentral's name for it is "bacterial SSU rRNA". It matches the Rfam family "Bacterial small subunit ribosomal RNA", at positions 329 to 794 of the family's 1533-position model. The record is from RNAcentral.